RNAcentral lists this long non-coding RNA (16051 nucleotides) under Cricetulus griseus (Chinese hamster). RNAcentral's name for it is "lncRNA (ENSCGRG00015031759.1)". The record is from RNAcentral. Lineage: Eukaryota; Metazoa; Chordata; Mammalia; Rodentia; Cricetidae.
GCUAACCAUAGAGGUCUGGAGGUCUGUACAGACAGGCAGGAAGUGAUGUAGCUGGGCAGAAUCAGUAUAUUAGCAGGGACAAACAGGAAAUUGAACUCUUCUCUUCUCUUCUCUGUGGAGACGCUGAGCCAGCCAUCAUCAUGUAGCAGACAAGGGAGUUGCAGGUCUGGUAAGCCAAGACCACGUGGAAAUGUGUGGAUUAGUAGUUAUGGGUUAAUAAUUAAGUCAGAGCUAGCCAAUAAGAAAUCAUAGCCAACGGCCAACAGCUUUAUAACAAAUAUAGCAUCCAUGUGUUUCUUUGGGAAAGAGAAGGGCAGCGGGAUCUAGCCAGGAAAAGAAACAUUCACGUUACAGUAGGUCCCCCAGAGAACACACAGACAUCCUUAAAGCUAAAAAGAAAGUCUGUAUUGCUGCCAGUGACUGCACAGGGAACGUGCCCAAGUCAUGAAGCCCCUCACCACUCUUUUUUCUUUAUGCACAAAAACCACAUCCUGGUUGACAUUCUUGAGUUAGCAAGAGCAGUUAGCCAGAAGCAAAACCCAAAAAGCAGGACUGGUACAACUUAGGGACUUUCCUGGAUCCCAAAACUAUGGACUAGGUCUCUGAUGGAUUAUGUCUUUGUUUCUCUCUGGGCAGGCAUGUUGGGGCCUACAUGCCUGGAUUUAAGGUUAGGAUGCUGUCUCCAAUCUGAUGUUAGUUUUGCUGAAGUCUGGGGGGGUCUGUUAACAUCAUGAGAGUUAACAAAGUUAAAUAACUUCCCUAAAUAUUUGAAAUACAAAUCUAAACUUCUUUAAAUUCCCAGAAUGUCUUCCUCUAGCAGUAUUUAGUGACAACGUUGCAUUUAAUAAGACAAUAAAUUAAGUUUAGAAGAAUCAAGUUUCAUAGCUGAGAGUAGGAAUGUGGAACCAUGUCUCUGUCCCCUCAAUGCUGACAGGAGGGUUGCUAUGAGUUCAAGUCCAGCUUGGGCUACAUAGCUCUGAGCCAGCCGGGGCUACUGUAUAAAAAUGUGUCUAAAGAAGAAAGGAAGGGAGGGAUGAGAGGGAGGGAAGGAAGGGAAGAAACAAAGAAAUAAAGAAAGGAUGUUAACAUCAUAAUGAGUAUUUAUCCACUGCCAGUAUGCCGUUGUAUCUCGUACCUACAGUAAUCCCAGCAUAAUAUAAAGACCGAAGUCAGAAAAAGUUCCUAUUCCUAUGUGAAAGAAUCCAGAGACAGCUACCCCCAUUUGUAGUAAACACUGUGAACGAAUAAAUGAACAAACAAAAUCUCCAGCUACUGGACUAUGAGUCACUACAUGGGAUCACGUGCUGGGCUCAGUGUGAAGUCAUUCAUUAUGUCAUAAGUUUGCCGAGUCUCUCAAGCCUCUCUGUGCUGUUGGCCCUGCUGUUCUAGCUUCAUUUGAAUCAUUGUGACAUAACACCAUAAUAAGACACAAUCCUAUUCCAGCUUACAGUCCAUUACCGAAAGGAAGUUACGCAGCAAGAGCUUGAGCCCAUGGGCUGGAGAGAUGGCUCAGCAGUCAAGGGCACUGACUGCUCUCCCAGACGACCAGAGUUCAAUUCCCAGCAACUACAUGUUGGCUUAUAACCCUCAGUAACUCCAGUUCCAUAUCCUACAUUGUCCUCUGACCUCCUGGGGCAUGCCAUACAUACGAUGCACAGACAUUCAUUCAAGAGAAGACCUACAUACCUAAAGUAACUUUUUAAAAAUUUUUCAGACCUUGAGACAGCUGGUCACACCAUGUUCACAGUCAAGAGCAGAUAAAAAUGAAUGCUCCCAUGCAAUCUGCUUGCUUAAUAUUCGGCCAGCUUUUUAUGCUCUUAUACAGUUCAGGGCCCAGCAUAGGGAAUGGUACUGUCUGCAGUGGCCUGGGUAAGUUAAUAGUCUAGACAGUCCCCACAGAUACACUCACAGGCCAACCUGAUCUAGAUAAUCCCUCACUGAGAUUCUCUUCUCAGGUGACUCAACCGUGUCAAGUUGACAGAACUAACCAGCACACAUGCCCUAGGCCAUGCCCGGUAACCUUCCUGCCCUAGCUUCUUCCUUCUGUGACAUUACUAAGUUUCUCUCAAGCAUAUAUGUGCUUGACUCUGGAAAGUCUAAUGUGCUUAGAUCUGUUUGGUGUGGUUUUGCUUUUGGGUGGUCUCUGGUAACAGGACAAUCAAUGUUCCACAGAUGAAGAAAUGUACCCAAACACCUUCAGCUACUUCUUGAAGACCCAGGUGUGAAGCCAGCUAUAAUUAACUUGGACACUGCCACUCCAUCUGCUAAUUUCUACAUUUGGGCAAAAGUGAUAGAUUAGAUAUAGAAAACAGACUUGAAUCAUAUAAUCUCAGAAGUUCUCGAGCAGACAACUUUAAAAGGCAUGGCAGCUUUAAAAAUGACAAUCUGUAAAAGUGACAGGAAUUUGAGUUCUUAAAUCAAAUGAAAAUGUACCACCAUCUGCUCUUCAUUGUGACACAGUGAUUAAAAUGCAUAAAUAAGUCUCGGGCCAUAGAGGAGUUUCCCAAACAAACAAGAGCUGAGGUCUAAGUGCUGACUGACAUCAAGAAGAAAUUCAAUUUUCCAAAUGAUCAUACAAAAAUCCCAUAAGCCUUCUAGGCCAGUAUGCAAUGUGACCUACAAUGGUAGUCCUCGGGGGCUUUGUAUAGUUAUUUGGAAACACAAAACUCAGCAUAAAAAAUCAAAAGCAAUUGUUUCAGAUUCAUUGACAAUGCUUUGUUGACUUCAGAAUGAAGCAAGGUGAAGAGACUUGUAAAGGGCACAAAAGGGAAUGGAGUGUGAGCCAGGCCAAAAAUCUCUAUCUGUCUCUGUGUCUGUGUCUCUGUCUGUCUCUGUGUCUGUGUCUCUGUCUGUCUCUGUCUCUGUGUCUGUGUCUCUGUCUGUCUCUGUUUCUGUGUCCCUGACUGUGUCUAUUUCUGUGUCUCUGUCUCUGUCUCUGUCUCUGUUUCUGUGUCUCUGACUCUGUUUCUGUGUCUCUGUCUGUCUCUGUGUCUGUCUGUCUCUGUCUGUCUCUGUGUCUGUGUCUCUGUCUGUCUCUGUGUCUGUGUCUCUGUCUGUCUCUGUCUCUGUCUCUGUGUCUGUGUCUCUGUCUGUCUCUAUUUCUGUGUCCCUGACUGUGUCUAUUUCUGUGUCUCUGUCUCUGUCUCUGUUUCUGUGUCUCUGACUCUGUUUCUGUGUCUCUGUCUGUCUCUGUGUCUGUCUGUCUCUGUCUGUCUCUGUCUCUGUGUCUGUCUGUCUCUGUCUGUCUCUGUUUCUGUGUCUUUGUCUGUCUUUGUCUGUCUCUGUGUCUCUCCGUCCCACUCCACAUACACACAUCAAUGACUAUGAGGAGACAAUGUCCAUAUCAGCCUGAGGAGACCCCCUUAAGGAGGUAAUGCUGCAUUCUGAGCAAACUGCAGAAGGGAAUUUCAGGACAAAUCAGAGGAAAGCCAAGUUACUAAGUUUGCUUCCUAGAGCUUCGGGGUUGAGCACAGAUGGAGAGCGGGACACAGGGAGGUGGUCUUGCUUAGGGUUUCUACUGCUGUGAAGGAACAUCAUGACCACAACAACUCUUAUAAAUCAUUUAAUUGGGGCUGGCUUACAGUUUCAGAGGUUUACUCCAUUAUCGUCAUAGCAGGAAGCAUUUGAACAGACAUACUGCUGGAGAAGGAGCUGGGAGUUCCACAUCUACCAAACAAGAGUAAAGAACAUUACCCAAACUCUUUGAUCAAAUUAAGCAAGCUUUAUUUUCUAUCAGACAAGGCUAUCUCCCUAGAGUGGGGUUUGAAAAGAUACAUGGAACACAGGAGAAGGUGGGGUUUGUAUAGUGUGAGAGCCAAAGUUAAAUGCUGGAGGUCAAUUAUGUUUUCACUCCCUAAAGAGCUUUGUUUGACCCAUCUGCACCUGCACUGGAUGUGCUUGAUCACAUGUGGGCAGGAGGUGCACAGGCAGGAAAUAAGUCAGGAUGUAUGCUUGCCCCUGAUUGGAUGUAGAUGGCAGAUACACAGGCAGGAAAUAAAUCAGGAUGUAUGCUUGCCCCUGAUUGGACCUGAUGGGAAAUAUGGUGAAUUGUGGGUUUUGCCUUUUUAAGCUCCUGCAAAACAUGACUCCUGGCCUUUUUCUGGGAACCCAGGUAUGGCCCUGGCCAGUUCAUCCUCCUGGCCAGUAUUUAAUUAAAGCUUGAUUGAAAUUUGGUUUUAAAUUGUGGUGGUGGUGGUGGUCUUAUUCUCGACCAGUGGUAUUAACGAUCAUCAUAAGAACAAGCAAACCUGCAAGAUUAAGGGUUUUCAAGGGUUGGAGGAUUUCCAGAGGAAUUUUGGUUACAUAGGAACUUGGCUGAACAUUUUAAAAUUAUUUGGCAGAACAUCUUAUCUAUUCAGGUACGUUCAAGGUGUUAGUCAAACUGGUUUGGGUGGGUAGCAUGUCAAAUUCCAGAAACAGGUUAAAGCAUGGUCAACUUGAAUUUUGCAGCAAACAGAAAUGAAGUUGUUCUGAUCUAAUAACACAAUGGUUUCCAUCCUUAAGAUGGGGUCAGGUUAGUGUAUCUCUGGGGUGGCAGACUCAGGAAGAGAGAAGAUGCUGAAACUAGCUUGAGUGGUUGAAACCCCAAAGCCCACCCCCAGUGACACACUUCCCCCAAGGCUACACUUCCUAAUCCUUUAAAAUAGUGUCCCUCCCUAUGAGCCUAUGGGGGCCAUUUUCAUUCAGAUCACUACAGAGGGGGAUCAGGAGGAGGAAGAGAGAGGGGGGAGGAGAGGAAGGGGAAAAUGACAAGGACAAGACUGAGAAUGCCUUUCCAUCACUUUGGUGGCAGCAGCAGAAUCAUAAGUUCCAGACCAGCCAGGGCUUCAUAGUGAAAUCUUGUGUCAAAAGAGACACUUAAAAAGAGAAAGGGGGGUGGGCAGUGGUGUCACACACCUUUAAUCCCAGCACUCGGAGGCAGAGGCAGGCAGAUCUCUGAGAGUUUGAGACCAGCUUGCUCUACAAGAACUAGUUCCAGGACAGGCUCCAAAGCCACAGAGAAACCCUGUCUCGAAAAGGGAAGGAAAGGCAAGGGAGUAUCUGGGGGAAGGAAGGGAGGAAAAAAAAAAAAGAACUGCAGCACACAAACUUAAGACACAAGUGUGGGCUUCCAGGCAAGGAGAGUCACACCCAAGUAUCUGUGUGUGUGUGUGUGUGUGUGUGUGUGUGUGUGUGUGUGUGUGCACAUCCGCACUAGUGUGUGUGUUUUAUAUAUGUAAUUUAUCAAUAUAUAAUACAGAUUUUUAUAUAUGUAAUUUUAUAACUUUAAAAUUACAUGUUUCACAGAAAUUAAUUUGUAACAAGUCUAACGAUUAAACAACAUUUAAAAGCUAAGUUUAAAAAGCAUGAAAUCAGGACUAGAGAGACGUUAAGAGUAUGUGCUGCUCUUUCAGAGCACCCAAGUCCAGUUCCCAACACCCACAUUCAGCCCUGACAACUGCUUAUGACUCUUUGUCCAGAGGAUGUCUCUGACCCCUGCAGUCACCACAUACAGGAACAUAAACCCUCACACAGACAGACAGAGACACAAGCACACAUACACACAAAAUCUCACACAGACAGACAGAGACACAAGCACACAUACACACAAAAUCUCACACAGACAGACAGAGACACAAGCACACAUACACACAAAAUCUCACACAGACAGAGACACAAGCACACAUACACACAAACCCCCACACAGACAGACACACAAGCACACAUACACACAAACCCCCACACAGACAGACAGAGACACAAGCACACAUACACACAAACCCUCACACAGACAGACACACAAGCACACAUACACACAAACCCUCACACAGACAGACAGACACACAGCACACAUACACACAAAAUCUCACACAGACAGACAGACAGACACACAAGCACACAUACACACAAACCCUCACACAGACAGACAGAGACACAAGCACACAUACACACAAACCCUCACACAGACAGACACACAAGCACACAUACACACAAGCCCUCACACAGACAGACAGACACACAAGCACACAUACACACAAACCCUCACACAGACAGACACACAAGCACACAUACACACAAAAUCUCACACAGACAGACAGAGACACAAGCACACAUACACACAAGCCCUCACACAGACAGACACACAAGCACACAUACACACAAACCCUCACACAGACAGACACACAAGCACACAUACACACAAAAUCUCACACAGACAGACAGACACACAAGCACACAUACACACAAACCCUCACACAGACAGACACACAAGCACACAUACACACAAAAUCUCACACAGACAGACAGAGACACAAGCACACAUACACACAAAAUCUCACACAGACAGACAGAGACACAAGUAACAUACACACAAAAUCUCACACAGACAGAGACACAAGCACACAUACACACAAACCCUCACACAGACAGACAGAGACACAAGCACACAUACACACAAGCCCUCACACAGACAGACAGACACACAAGCACACAUACACACAAGCCCUCACACAGACAGACAGACACACAAGCACACAUACACACAAACCCUCACACAGACAGACACACAAGCACACAUACACACAAAAUCUCACACAGACAGACAGAGACACAAGCACACAUACACACAAGCCCUCACACAGACAGACACACAAGCACACAUACACACAAGCCCUCACACAGACAGACACACAAGCACACAUACACACAAACCCUCACACAGACAGACAGACACACAAGCACACAUACACACAAGCCCUCACACAGACAGACAGACACACAAGCACACAUACACACAAACCCUCACACAGACAGACACACAAGCACACAUACACACAAAAUCUCACACAGACAGACAGAGACACAAGCACACAUACACACAAAAUCUCACACAGACAGACAGAGACACAAGUAACAUACACACAAAAUCUCACACAGACAGAGACACAAGCACACAUACACACAAACCCCCACACAGACAGACACACAAGCACACAUACACACAAAAUCUCAGAUUUGAGUACAUGUAUUUGAGCUAUCAUCUGCUUUUUUCUCUCGUAAGGCAUCUAUCUGUGGAUGGGAGGUAGCUCAGCUGGUAGAGAGAAAGCACAGAGCUCUGGGUUCCACCUUAGCACCUCAUGUGUUGUGAUGGUGCUGGCCUGCACUCCCAGCACUGAGAGAGUGAAGGCAAGACAAUUAAAGUUAAGAAUCGUCCCACUACACUGUAUAAGAACCUGUCUCAAAGUAGAAUAGAGUGUCCAUUUGUUAAGUUACACCGUGUCUUAGCUGGGGUUUCUGUUGCUGUGACAACACACCAUGACCAUAAGAAACUUGAGAAGAUGGGUUACACACCUACACUUGGGGUAACUAACUGUCCACCACUGGGGGAACUCAGGGCAGGAACUGAAGCAGAAGCCAUGGAGGGGUGCUUCUUACUGGUUUGCUCCCCAUUGCUUGUUCAACCUGCUUCCUUAUCCCACCCAGGACCACCUGCCUGGAGGUGGCACCACCCUGAAUGAGUUGGACCCACCCACGUGAAUCAUUAAUUGAGAAAAUGUGCUACACCUUUGACUACAGAUUAAUCUUAUGGGAUCAUUUUCCCAGUUGAGAGUUCCUCUUCCCAGACAACUCUAUCUUGUGUUCAGUUGACAUAAAACCAACCAGAACACACUGUAAUGUGACUUAAUGAAAUGCCUCGUUGGAUUUAGGGAUGAGAAGGGAGCUAACGAAGUUAAAGUCAAGGCUAUAACCAUCUUCCGGGUCAGGGCCUUCGGAGUGUCCAUGGAGACACUUCCCAUCUUACACAGCUUAGGAUCCUUGGCUGGGGCCUCAGCUGUGUCCCUCAGCUGCCUCAUCCCCUCCAGCCCACUGAACCAUUUAGCAUGAGGGAUAUGUCCACUCCGUGAUGCACUGCCAUGCAUCAGGAUGUCAGUGCCAUGCCAUGACGACACCGUGAGGAGCCACGCAUGAGGCUACAAGCCUGCUUUCCAGCCCCCAGGAGGCAGAGGCAAGAGGAUUGGGAGUUCCUCGUCUACAGAGGCACAUAGCAACACCUUGUCUCAAAAUUAAUUAAUAAUUAAAAUAGAAGGAGAGUCCAGAGGGACAGAUGCUGGAAAGUAGUGCCUGUAAUCUAUAUGGCAGAGAAGGUUUCUUUCCACUCCUGGCACAUGGGGUACUAUUGUCACUAUUGUCAUCUUUUGAGAAUGAAAACUGUGCUGUGGUGGAAAAUGACUCACCUCAGCUGAUGCUUUUGUAGACACCGUGCCCUGCACUAGCCAGGAUUCUAUGCAUUUUACUUAAAUAAACUCGUUUACAUUCAACCUGUGGAUUCUUAGGAGAAAAGCCCAGUGACCCUUCUUUUACAAUAGGAAAUAGAAUUUUGUUGUUGGGUUUUUGUUUGUUUUGAUACACUGUUUCUUCUGUGUAGCUCUAUAGACCAGGCUGGCCUCGAACUAACAAAGAUCUACCUGCCUCUGCCUCCCGAAUGCUGGGAUUAAAGGGCAUGUGUCACCCCAGCCCAGCUUGGAAACAUUUUCUUAGUUGCCAAUUAAUGUAGGAGGACCCAGCCCACUGUGGGUAGUACCAUUCCUAGGAAGGUAGAUCUGAGCUAUAAAAGAAAGAUAACUGAGCAAGCCAAAGGGAGCAAGCCAGUAAGAGGCAUGCCCCUGUGGUCAUUUGUUCAGUUUCUGCCUCCAGGUUCCUGCCCUGACUUAAUGAUGAGUUGUGGCCUGGAAGCAUAAGAUGAAAUAAUCCCUUUUCUGCCCAAAUUGCUUUUGGUUGUGGGGCUUCAUCACAGCCACAGAAAAGCAAACAGGGACAGAGGUUCUGGUUUUCUUCUAAUUCUCAUCACAUGUCAUAUUGUUCUGCACUUCCUGCUUGGCACACUUAAUCAUCCACACAAGGAACAAACUGGCCAAAUUUGCAACUAAAAUCGGGAUGCCUUGUACCUGACAGGACUCUGUGUUUCCCGGCGUGGAGUACAAGUCACCACCCAAUGAUGGGCAAGAGGUGUAUUUGGGAUGCAGAUCGGAAAAGAAAUUUCAGUCCUUGAAAUGCACUAGAAACGUGUUCUUGUACUCUGGGAUUUGGUUGAUUCAUUUUCCUCAGCAUGUUUUAAUGCACGUGACACCUGAGGGAGGUGGUUUUACCUUGCAGUCCCUGCACAGCCCACGCUUCUUUGUUGGAUGACAGAGGGAUUUGAAAACUGGUGCAGGUGAACUGUCAGCAGCCUGGCUGGGCCCUCCAAGUCAGACUUACCAAGCUGGUUCUCUUCUCUCUCUCUCUCUCUCUCUCUCUCUCUCUCUCUCUCUCUUUCUCUCUUUCUCUCUCUCCUCCCCCUCUCCCUUUCCUCUCUCUUCUCCCCUCCCCACACUCUCUCUCUUCUCCCCUCCCUCUCUCUUUUCCUCCCCCCUCUCUGCAGAGCUCCCUUCAAACCCUGUAAACAUUUCCUUCUCUCCUGAGUGCCCCCAGUUCUAUUCCCCCCACUGCUUCCUUAGCCAGGAUAUGGAAAACAUGCUUGUCUUUGUUUUUCCAGAAGCCUGACCCUACUCUCCCAUGGAAGCCAAAUCAAACCCAAAGCUCAGGUAUCAAAGUAGAAAAAGAAACAAAUUUGUAAAAGGUUGGGGAGUUACUCCCAACCUGAAUCUGGCCAUAUUCCCAGACCAGUGGAACUGCCAGUGGUCUGGGAAAUUCCCCACAGAGCCCUCCACCCAGGGGAAGCCUUUUGAAGCAGAGUUGGAGCUCAUUAAGAAGAAUGUUUAAGACAGGUUUAAACAGCAGGUUAAUAGAAAGACGGUUGCUCGGGGAAUGAUGAGGCAUUGCCCAAGAAGGGUGUGGCCCUGGAAGGAAAGACGCCCCAAUGCACAGAAGUGUCAAUGGCAUAUCAAAAGCUUUUGGAACUGAAUUGCUCAGUUUGCUUCUAAGGGGUUCCCCGGAAACCCCACCCCACCUCCCGGACCAUCUCUUUCCCCUUGUAUAUUAGGUGAUAUUAGAAGCUGUCUCCAGCAGUACCUUAGAUAGAACUGUAUCUUACAAGAGAAAAGCAUGGGUCAAAGAGGUAACAUGGGGGGUGUCUUUUGCUGUAAAUGGGGUUUCUACUUAGAGUUCUAGAAAACUGUACUUGUUUGGUACUUCUGGAUAGCGAUUUUCUUUCAAAUGUCGUAAGAGGCUUAACUGCUUUCAUUUUUAAUGGGUUUGUGUGUGUGCAUAUGUGCAUGCGUGUUCACCUGUGUGUGCAUAUUCACACAUGUGUGCACGCAUGUUCACAUGUGCAUCUUAGUACACAGUUGGUGUCUUCCUUUGUUGUUCUUCAACCUUAUUCUUUUUGAGGCCUGGUCUCUCAGUCAAACCCAGAGCUAGUAUCAUUAACCAGUCUACUCCAGGGAUACUUUGUCUCCCACUUCUGAGGUUACCAUGCCUGUUCCACAUUUGCUUGGGUUCUGGGGAGCCAAAUCUCCAUCUCUUGCUAGUUUGGCAAACAUUUUCAAUGCUUAGAGAUCUCAGUAGGCACCCUUCCAUCUCUGAAGCUGCUGUACCUAAGUUUGAAGAAAUCAGUUACAACUUCACACGUGAACAUCUUAAAUGAAAUGUUAAAACUGUAAAAAACAUGUCUGAAAUUUUGAAAUUCAGUAGACAGGUUUUACUGCAGAACAAAGGUUUAAAAAGUCAGUGAACUUCAAGUUAGAAUAGUAGAAACUAUUCAGUCUAUAACAAAUGGGAGCUGGAGAGAUGGCUCAGCAGUUAAGAACAUGUUAGCAGCUCACCUCCAAGGAGUGUGAUGCCUUCUCCUCACUUUCUCAGGUGCCUGCAGCUCAUGCGCACUCACCCACAGACACAUAAUGAGAAUAUAAAUAAAUAUGUAAAAGUUAAGAAGUUUAAAAAAUAUUAAUCUAUUCUAAAACCCAUAGGUGAGUGAGGAACGGAGUAAAAUCACACUCAUAGUUUAGGGCAGCUGAGGUGGCCACACAGGCCCUGUACAAGAUCGUGCCAGUCAACACACAAGCAUUGACUGGGAGGGGGCACAGGAGCCCCCACCUCUAGGUGAGAAGCUAGUGACAGGCGCUAAUGGCUGCUAGGGAAGGAAGGCUUAGUUUUCUUUAGGGUGUGGUCCUGGUAGAUUUACCACACUCAGGGAUGGCCCCACACCAAUGCAUACAUGGGCAGUGCUAGUGGACUCAAUAGGUUACUGAAACAAACCAAAAUUACAGGAAUAAAGUUGGAAGAGGGGCAUGCGGAGGUGGACCCAGGAGGUAGAGUUCUGGAAAGGGGUGAAUAUGAUAGAAUACAUUGUAUGCAUGUAUGAACUCCUCAAAGAACAAGUAGAAAUAUAUUUUAGAAGUUAAUAAGGGCUUAGGUGCUAAGGGAUAAUAUGAAAAGGAUAGGCAAACAGGAAACUAGAAGCAUAAAAGUUAAGAGGAGAAAUGGAGUAGAAAAAAAUACAUGAGGAAUUUAUAGCAACAAAUGUUCCCAAAUUUUGUGAAAAGCAUUAAUUGCUGAAUCAACAAACACCAAGCAGCGUAAAUACAAGGAGAGCCAUAUCCAAGCAACCCUAGUCAUGGCUCUCAUUGACCCCACCCUGUCACACCCAUGUGCAAUCCACUACCCCAGGGUGUAGACUGAACCUAUUGCUUUAGUCUUUGUGCUGAUGUGGCAAAGACUUGACGUAAACCACAUGAAGAAAGACUUGCUGGCUUGGGCUUGUAGAUUCCGAGGCUCUGUCCGUGGUUGAUUGGUCCCAUGAGACUGGACAGGAUGCUAUGGAAGUAGAAGCAUCUAUCAGAGGAUGUUUUGUCAUCACAGCAGUCAGGAAGCAGGGAGUGGGUCUGCUGACCAGGUACAGCACUCAUAAAGCUUGCACAUUCUUCCAAAGUGGGACCACCAAUUGAGGACCAAGCAGCCAACAUGAGCUUUUGGGGGACAUUCCCUACCCAAACCAGAACUUCUGACUGUUUGUUUCCAAUUAAUAGAAUACAACAAAACAAACGGAAUAUGGCUUCUAUGACUGAGCAGUAAGCAUCUGACCUCUUUUGGUGGCUUGCCCCCUCACUCCACUGAAGGAGAAGGCUUGUACAUUCAUGAUACCUUUAUUCAGAUAAAUACCAGCCAAACGCGAGCCAGAGUGUGCCCAGGGGCAGCAAGGCAGGGAGGCCAGAGAGAAGGGGCAGCCGAAGGGAAAGAGACCUUUCCAUGUGCUUGUGGUCGCUCAAGAGCCCACGCCGUGUCACUCUGACCUCACCUUGACCAUGCGUGGUCAGGCACACCUGUAGCCAGCCCUUAGGAGGCGUGGGUACCGUGUCUCCCUACACUCCACCCUUUCCUCUCUCCUUCCAGCUACUUGUGUGUUGUCUCUAUGUCCUAGCCUUGUUGUUUGCUUGGCUGCAUGGAACAAACUAAAAUGUUGUUGAGAUAUUCUAUGGAGUGAAUCUUGAUACACCACAUCUUUUUCACCGGGAGGAUUAAUAUACAGAAAUUCAUGUUAUGAAUCAGUGUCUACAAAUGGCUGUGCUCCUGUUAGAAUUGGGGGGGGUGUAGCAGAGAUUCUCCUCCCCCUGGAACACAAGCACUCUGGAUUCAGUGAUAGAAAUGUUAGUUGCCCUGUGUGCAAGUGUUGUGCACCGUAAACCUACAGUAUCUCUUGUACAGGGUAACACAUGUGCAUCAGUCAGGGCCCAGGUCCAAAGAGAAACUACAAAAAACUACUUCAAUGAACAACUUUAAUGUGGAAGACUGAGAACUGAAAAACCAUGGAAGCUGGGACAUCACAAGACAAUCACUACAGGAAGCAAAUUUACUGUCAGUGUGGGAACAAAGAGGAGGUGCUUCGUUUGCAAAAUGCACAGUCUGGAACCAGGGCUCCCAGGAGGGAAGAUAGUGGGUCAGCUUGUGCAGUGUCUGAACUGCACAGAAAGCUGAUGUGUGAAGACCACAAACAAGUCAAACGGUGCUACGGCGCUAGAGAUGCUGCAACUAUCGGUGUGGAAAGGAAGACACCGUGGGGGAUGCCAGAGUGAAGCGAGGCAGCAAGGGCUCCCUACAGCUCUUCGUUCUAACUCAAGCAUCCAUAUUAUCAUAACUUGGUAGCUUUCACAGUCCAGCAACACGGGGUGCAGGACAGAACAAUGAGAUUGGGACAGAAAUUAUUGACAGUCACAAAAUGAAAAGCAACUCGAAAUCCCAGGACCGAGAGGCACUGAUAAUUGGUAUCUGAGGGGAAGGAUGAACAGGACAGCGUUUCCAGACUUCAUUCGGCCUGUAUUUCCACUAGUUCUUUUUGAGAACAAGGAAGGAAUAGAAGCUGCUCAGAUGAGUGACAAAUAACUUCAGGCCUUUUCACGGAGAAGCCUUUUUCAAAAUUAAGACAAUCUUAAAUACACCUCACUGCUUUGUCUGGUCCUCAGAAACCUUGUCUGAGCCUUCACCUCUGAAGCUUAGAGCCCAGAACUUCAGCCUUGGAACAUCUACAAGCCUGACAAAGAACACACACUGAAAGCAGGGAGGACCUGGCUAGUGCCAAAGAGACACCACAGAUGUCACGCACUUGAACUAGCCCCAGGAUGUUAAAUUAAUAUUGCACUUAGGGCUUAUCUGGUUUCCCUUGGCAACUAGACAGAAGGUGCAGAGCAGAGAGCAAGAGAAAAAAAGUUUCAUCAUUCAGGCAGUACAAAAAAAGAAAAAAAAAGUUACCAUGGAAAGAAAAAGAAAAGGAGAGGUACCAACAGGAAAGGAAAUUACCAUCACCCAAAACAGAAUAGCGACCUGCAGUGGGGAGACACACAGCCCAGCAACCGUGGGGUUUCAGAGGUACCACUGCAGCCUGGUGGCAUUCAGGAAGGAGAGACGUUAUAGUCUACCUGCCUCCUCUCUCUGGAGAAGGUCACUUUUACCAUAAACUAGAACCAUCAUGUGUCUGUGUGUUUAGCACCACAGGCUCAGUACCCAGAAUAAGACAGACAUUCAACAAUGAAUCAUGAGUAAUCAUGUUGAUGCCAAAUCACAAAAAAGUAUCUAAAAUUAUGACUAAUAAAUGUUAGUGGAAAGUACAUAGGUAUUGGUGGCACUUUGAAAAGUAACUGUUAAAAAUAACCACUGUCUAUGGGCUGUGCUAUGGAAGCAAGGACCAGCUUCUCUGACAUGCUCUCUAGUGCAAUAAUGGUAAGUGUGUCAUAGGAGUGACCAAUUGCUCUCUGAGGCUCUGCUCCACAAGAAGGAAUUCAUAUCUGAGUAGGUAACCCAGUCAAAAACUCACUAUGUAGCCUUGGCUGGCCUGGAACUUAUUGUGUCAACCAGAAUGACCUUAAACUCACAAGAUAUCUGCCUUCCUUUGCCUCCCAGUGUAGGGAGACACUGUAGCCCCAUCUCCUAGGAGCUAGCUACAUGUGUGCUUGACCACACCUGUCAGGAUGUGGUCAGGGGAGGUUCAGGAUGACUCAUGGGGAGUUCUUAAGGGGACAGCAGACACAUGGGAGCUCUUCUCUCUGGCCUCCCUAGCCUGCUGCCUCUGGGCACACUCUGGCUUAUGCUUGACCGGUGUUUAUCUGAAUAAAGAUAUCCUAACCUUACCGACUAUGGAUCAUCUUCAUAAAGCUGAUUCUGUUAUUACACACCUACUAGAGGUGAUGGCAGUUAUGGGUAUACCUACACAGAUAAAAACUGACAAUGCUCCAGCAUAUGUCUCCACAAAAAUGGAACAGUUCUUCAAAUAUUAUAACAUAAAGCAUGUCACAGGUAUACCACACAAUCCUACAGGACAAGCAGUGUUGAAAGAUCUAAUAGAAUGCUUAAGAAGGUGCUCCAUAGGCAAGCUGGUAAGUCUAAACCCCCCAAACGUAGGUUACAUAAUGCUUUAUUGACACUAAACUUUCUUAAUGCCAAUGGCAAAGGACAAACAGCUGCAGAAAGACACUGGACUAUGGAAAAAAACUGCUGAACUGAAUCAACCAGUGUACUUCAAAGAUGUACUGACCUCGGUAUGGAAACCUGGACAUGUGUUACGUUGGGGUAGAGGUUUUGCAUUUGUUUCCACAGGAGAAGAAAAAGUUUGGGUACCAUCAAAAUUGAUCAAGAUUCGAGUUGAAAAAGACAACCCUCUUGACAAGGACGACUGACAGAAAAACCUCCAGAAGUCAAAGGACACUUGGGUAGAUACUUAAAGAAAAAAAAGGUAGCUAUAACCAUCAAACGAAAGGAACGUGCCAUACGCAUACAUACAUAUGCAAGCAAACAUUUCUCUGCUGGUACUUAUGUCUGAGUCCCACACAGCCAAUGACAGCAAUCCCUGGAUGCUCCGUAAAGGAACUGGGCCAGACCUCCUGGACUGCACUGCAUCUGACUCACGCCACAUCAACUGACUCCGACCAGAGCCUCCAGUACUGGCUUCAAUCAAGUUAAGGAUUUCAACCUAGAUCUUCAAUCAAGCAAAUCCCAUCUAACAUGCACUGGAGAUAACCCGUUAGAGACUUCCCCUAUACUAACAUUUUCUUCCCACAGGACCCCACAAGGCUACCAUCGUCCUGUUUCAGCAGGAAGUAACUUGGAAGAUGCUACACCCCUGUUCCCCAUUAUUGUCUAUUAGGGUAGUGUAAGCCUAGUUAGGAAUAACUUUCUUAUUGUUUAGAGUUGGUAUUGGAAGGAGGUGUUCAAGUUGGACACCCCUUUCAGAUGACUUUAGGGCUUAGCCGGAAUAGACAUAGUUAGGAUGUGCAAUUAUAUACAAUUAUUGUAUCUUCUUGUAUUUCACCUUUAUGAUUGUUAAUUUUGUAUGUUUUACACCAUUAAGUUUUAAUCCUCUUUUAGACUAAAAGGGGAAUUGUAGGGAGAUCCUGUAGCCCCACCUCCUAGGAGCUAGGUACAGGUGUGCUUGACUAUGCCUGUCAGGGUGUGGUCAGGGGAGGUUCAGGGUGACUCAUGGGGAGUUCUUAAGGGGGCAGCAGACACAUGGGAGCCCUUCUCUCUGGCCUCCCUAGCCUGCUGCCUCUGGGCAUGCUCUGGCUUAUGCUUGGCCGCUGUUUAUCUGAAUAAAGAUAUUUUAACCUUACCGACUAUGGAUAGUCUUCGUUCUCGUUAUAUCCCAGUGCCA